GGCAUGUGCUCAAAACAAGGGGCCUGAAAAAUGGCUCCGCUAUUUAUAACAUACCCAACUGGAAUCUGAGAUCACUGUGAUGAGGAGCGCAAAACUUGUGGCCUCCCUAUGAACAAAUUUUCUACAUGU
Molecule: small nucleolar RNA, 129 nt
Organism: Otolemur garnettii (small-eared galago)
Lineage: Eukaryota; Metazoa; Chordata; Mammalia; Primates; Galagidae
Source: Ensembl